This 255-nucleotide ribosomal RNA is filed under the name uncultured bacterium. RNAcentral describes it as "partial 16S ribosomal RNA". It matches the Rfam family "Bacterial small subunit ribosomal RNA", at positions 524 to 776 of the family's 1533-position model. The record is from RNAcentral.
UACGUAGGGUGCAAGCGUUGUCCGGAAUUAUUGGGCGUAAAGAGCUCGUAGGCGGUCUGUCGCGUCGGCUGUGAAAACCCGGAGCUCAACUCCGGGCCUGCAGUCGAUACGGGCAGACUGGAGUUCGGCAGGGGGAGACUGGAAUUCCUGGUGUAGCGGUGAAAUGCGCAGAUAUCAGGAGGAACACCGGUGGCGAAGGCGGGUCUCUGGGCCGAUGACUGACGCUGAGACGCGAAAGCGUGGGGAGCAAACAGG